Molecule: ribosomal RNA, 467 nt
Filed under: uncultured bacterium
Lineage: Bacteria
Description: partial 16S ribosomal RNA
Rfam family: Bacterial small subunit ribosomal RNA
Source: RNAcentral
GACGAACGCUGGCGGCGUGCUUAACACAUGCAAGUCGAACGGAAAGGCCCUGCUUUUGUGGGGUGCUCGAGUGGCGAACGGGUGAGUAACACGUGAGUAACCUGCCCUUGACUUUGGGAUAACUUCAGGAAACUGGGGCUAAUACCGGAUAGGAGCUCCUGCUGCAUGGUGGGGGUUGGAAAGUUUCGGCGGUUGGGGAUGGACUCGCGGCUUAUCAGCUUGUUGGUGGGGUAGUGGCUUACCAAGGCUUUGACGGGUAGCCGGCCUGAGAGGGUGACCGGCCACAUUGGGACUGAGAUACGGCCCAGACUCCUACGGGAGGCAGCAGUGGGGAAUAUUGCACAAUGGCGCAAGCCUGAUGCAGCAACGCCGCGUGCGGGAUGACGGCCUUCGGGUUGUAAACCGCUUUCGCCUGAGACGAAGCGUGAGUGACGGUAAUGGGUAAAGAAGCACCGGCUAACUACGUG